UUGAACGUUGAAAUGAGUAGUUGGGGAGUUAUCUUCAGAGAACUAUCGGGUGGUGUGAGAUAGUGAUAAUGAAUUGACGAAUAUGGUUUCAAUUUUAGUUCUCAUUACUAAACAUUUGUGAGGUAAUGACGGUUAUCACCGUUACAUGAUCAGGGUAUUGAAGUUGAGUACCUGGUAAGGAGUAAUCUGUGAAGGUUAUUCAAAUUAAGGUGGUAACGCGGAAAAGCACUUUCGUCCUUUGU
Molecule: non-coding RNA, 242 nt
Filed under: Paucilactobacillus vaccinostercus
Lineage: Bacteria; Bacillati; Bacillota; Bacilli; Lactobacillales; Lactobacillaceae
Description: Lactobacillus vaccinostercus T-box sequence
Rfam family: T-box leader
About the family: Uncharged tRNA acts as the effector for transcription antitermination of genes in the T-box leader family. T-boxes are found upstream of many aminoacyl-tRNA synthetase genes and some amino acid biosynthetic genes usually in Gram-positive bacteria.
Source: RNAcentral